GUACACUCCUACGGGAGGCAGCAGUGGGGAAUUUUGGACAAUGGGCGAAAGCCUGAUCCAGCAAUGCCGCGUGUGUGAAGAAGGCCUUCGGGUUGUAAAGCACUUUUGUCCGGAAAGAAAUCCUUGGCUCUAAUACAGUCGGGGGAUGACGGUACCGGAAGAAUAAGCACCGGCUAACUACGUGCCAGCAGCCGCGGUAAUACGUAGGGUGCGAGCGUUAAUCGGAAUUACUGGGCGUAAAGCGUGCGCAGGCGGUUUGCUAAGACCGAUGUGAAAUCCCCGGGCUCAACCUGGGAACUGCAUUGGUGACUGGCAGGCUAGAGUAUGGCAGAGGGGGGUAGAAUUCCACGUGUAGCAGUGAAAUGCGUAGAGAUGUGGAGGAAUACCGAUGGCGAAGGCAGCCCCCUGGGCCAAUACUGACGCUCAUGCACGAAAGCGUGGGGAGCAAACAGGAUUAGAAACCCUUGUAGUCCCAUGA
Molecule: ribosomal RNA, 478 nt
Filed under: uncultured organism
Description: partial 16S ribosomal RNA
Rfam family: Bacterial small subunit ribosomal RNA
Source: RNAcentral